RNAcentral lists this ribosomal RNA (933 nucleotides) under uncultured organism. RNAcentral describes it as "bacterial SSU rRNA". It matches the Rfam family "Bacterial small subunit ribosomal RNA", at positions 544 to 1488 of the family's 1533-position model. The record is from RNAcentral.
UCCGGAUUUACUGGGCGUAAAGAGCGUUGAGCCGGUUCUGUAAGUUGGGCGUGAAAGCCCUCGGCUUAACUGAGGGACGCCGUCCAAUACUGCAGGACUUGAGGGCAGCAGAGGGAGGUGGAAUUCCCGGUGUACCGGUGAAAUGCGUAGAGAUCGGGAGGAACACCAGUGGCGAAGNCGGCCUCCUGGGCUGCUUCUGACGCUGAAUGCGAAAGCUAGGGUAGCGAACGGGAUUAGAAACCCCGGUAGUCCUAGCUGUAAACGAUGGAUGCUAGGUGUAGGAGGUAUAGAUCCCUUCUGUGCCGAAGCUAACGCGAUAAGCAUCCCGCCUGGGGACUACGGCCGCAAGGCUAAAACUCAAACGAAUUGACGGGGGCCCGCACAAGCAGCGGAGCGUGUGGUUUAAUUCGAUGCUACACGAAGAACCUUACCUGGGUUUGACAUGUAGGUAGUAGUGGAGCGAAAGCGGAACGACCCUUCGGGGAGCCUACACAGGUGCUGCAUGGCUGUCGUCAGCUCGUGCCGUGAGGUGUCGGGUUAAGUCCCGUAACGAGCGCAACCCCUGUCCUUAGUUACAAGUGUCUAAGGAGACUGCCGGCGACAAGCCGGAGGAAGGUGGGGAUGACGUCAAGUCAGCAUGGCCUUUAUGUCCAGGGCUACACACACGCUACAAUGGCCGGUACAAUGGGUUGCCAAGCCGUGAGGCGGAGCUAAUCCCCCAAAGCCGGUCUCAGUUCGGAUUGUGGGCUGCAACUCGCCCACAUGAAGUUGGAGUUGCUAGUAACCGCAGGUCAGCUAUACUGCGGUGAAUACGUUCCCGGGCCUUGUACACACCGCCCGUCACGUCAUGGAAGUCAGUAACACCUGAAGCCGGUGGGCUAACCUGCAAGGGGGCAGCCGUCGAAGGUGGGACUGGUAACUGGGACGAAGUCG